UACUAGCUUUGUGGCUUCCUGCCUCCACCA
RNAcentral lists this non-coding RNA (30 nucleotides) under Rattus norvegicus (Norway rat). The record is from RNAcentral. Lineage: Eukaryota; Metazoa; Chordata; Mammalia; Rodentia; Muridae.